Long non-coding RNA from Girardinichthys multiradiatus, 3997 nucleotides. RefSeq lists it as uncharacterized. Lineage: Eukaryota; Metazoa; Chordata; Actinopteri; Cyprinodontiformes; Goodeidae. The record is from RefSeq and is a predicted model, not a curated record. The transcript is spliced from 3 exons.
UGGAUUACAUGCAACACAACACGGCUGUGCAGUGGCUUUUAUUUUGAAAGAUAAUCACGGCCCGGUAGUGGGACGUACGCCUUUGUGCUGUUAGGCUAGAAGACUGUAGUUGAAACGCUGUGUUGUCAGUCUACGGUUUUGAUUGUUAUGGUGUCUCUUCGGCAUCAUACACUGGAAAGCAGACUUUUUAAAAAUAUACGUGAAAUAUAUAUAUAUGUGAAAUGGAAGUUUUGUAUCACCUGGGGCGACAGCAAGAGUCUAUGUGAUAAGCUAACCAAGCUAAAGGUGUGGGGUUCGGAGUAAUGCCUUUCGGAAGACCAGGAGAGUCCAGGAAAUUCGUCCCGUCCAAACCUUUAAGUUGAGCUGUAGCUGGUUCUAAUUUUCUCGGAGCUUUUCUGUGGACGUGAAGCUGAUUUACUGAAAACAACCCGGAGCGCCCAGUUUAACACUGGAAUAUGUUGAGUGAUGGCUUCGUAUAGGACAGCUGCUCCUUAGGCACAUGUACGAAGGACAAGUCUUGAAUUGCUGAACUGGUUCACCGCACCUUGCGGGUGUGUCUGGCAUUGGAACGAGAUUUUGCCUACGCUUGAAUCUUCGUGAAAUUUUUGCAACACAGAAUUUGCAAGGGGCUAUUAUCAGGGCAUAUUGUGCUUCCAAGUGUUUUUUUUUUUUUCGGUUAAACGUUUUAAGAAUUAAUGGCUUCUGUGAUGGGGAGAGCGUGGGGGUGGGUUCACUCCUGGGGUAGAUAUACCACUCUAAAUACCCCAACUUUGUGCCAAAAGCAGCUUGGUAAAGAUGACGACACUGUCAAAGGCUGGCCAUCAUGGAUUUGGGGAGGAUGGAGAAAAGUAAGUGACCUAAGUGGCCCAGUGGAGGAGUAUUGGGAAGCGCAGGAGAAACUGCAGCCCAUGGAAAUAGAAGAUCUCGGAGCAGGGAAAUCUGAGUCAGAUCUACAUAUGUCUAGGUGGUGGAGCAAAUACCUCCCAACAUGGCCAAGAAAAACUGAUAAAAAUGGAGUGAGACAAAGGAAGGAGGACACUCAAAGGGGAGAGACAUGGUUACAUGAUGGUGAUGGGGACUGUUCUGAUUAUGGAACCCCUCCUCCAUCUCCCACAUCUUCUAAGCUGACCUCUCCAUUCCGAUUCUUUGCAGGUAGCUGGAAGUUGGAGAUUGUACCAGAGCACUAUGAGAUUUGCUUUAAUUUCCUCCGUCACUUGUUUGACCUGUUCGUGGUAGCCUUUCUGUGGACUGUGUCCCCUCCUGUCAAAUUGAUCCUGGAGAUGUUGGGGGUCCAGGGAGCACUGAGGCUGUGGUUUCAUGGCAUGGCAAUGUUUUUCGUCUCAACAGCUGGAAUGGCAGCUUUACUUUGGUUGAUUCAGGAGUAUCUUCCUCAAUUUGCUUUGAUCUAUGGCAUCACACAAGCAUUGGUGAUCUCUGUUAGCGUACGUCAAAGUGUUAUCCUUGGAGGAGAAGAAGAAAAAGGAAAUAUCAAGGAGGUGAAGGAGAUUCAUGAAAAAGACAAUGUAGAACAUGAAGAGAAACUUUUUUUCUAAGGACCUGCUAAAGGGUUUAGCUUAAGAUGAUGCAGGAAUUCAGCUUCUUCAGCCUUUCUCCAGAUGUGUGAUGACUCCACAGACACCAACAGAUUGUUGUACCACCAAAUUCAUUAGCUAUAAUUAUAUUUGACUUUGAUUUAGAGUUCAGUGAAUGUGCUACUUGUUUCUCUUUUUUGCCUUAUUUGUCUGCACUUUACAAACAUCUACUCAUCACCCUGAAUGUUUAUGGUAAUACUAUAAAUGCUGAGAAGGGUGGGGUUAUGAGUGUUCAAGAGGAAGCUUUGUUGAAAAACACUUAGUCCAGUAAAUAGGGAGGCCUCUUUUACUUUUCUGACUGCACACAGUGGCUUUCUACUCACCCUUGUUAAAUUACCUGGUUUUUGUGAUGUAGGAAAAUAUGACCAUGAUAAAUCAUUGGCAUUUUUCUUCAUAUAAUGUGACACAUAUGAUGUACAAUUAAAGUGAAAAUGUUAGAAGGAAAAAUAUAAAAGGUGUAAUAACCCAGUUUAUAGUGUGCACUUCCUCAGGUUCAUACUUGUUUGCAGCACCUUCUCUGGGGGAAGUCUGUCAGCAUCUCACAUCUUAAAUUGGCAUUAUUUUGUCUACUCAAUCUGCAAAUGUUGUCCAAAAUUACCAGAUUGUGAGGGAAUCUCUUGUCCACGGAAAUCCACAGACUUUCUAUUAAAUUUAGUUCUCGACUCUAGAGGAUUUUUUUCAAGGCUUAGAUUUUUUGUCUUUGUAAGAAAAAGCUUCUGUUUCACAGCCCUACGUCUUUGUCCAGACAUUUGGGGAAACCAGGAGAUUUUUGUCACAUGUAGAACAACCAGAAAACCCUGCAGUUCCUUCAGUGCUGCUGUUGCUCUCUUGGAAUCCUCCCUAACCAGUAUCAUGAUACAUACAAUACAUUUUUACAAUUAAGCCUCUUUGCAAAUUAUGGCUUUAUUUAAAGAUGAAAAAACAAUUUAAGUGAUUUAUCAUAGUCUCUGUCUACGUUACUUAAACCGUUGUAAUUUAACAAGGGUGUGUAGACUUUUGAGAGCCACUGUAUAGUGCCAGCUAAAGCAUUUGAGAAUAGGUUAUGAAUUCCUGAAUUAUCAGGAAAAGGUCAUGAGAAAUACAUGUUCAAAUGCUCACCUUGCCUCCUGUUUCUAAACUUAGCUUACCCCUAAGAUGUGAGCCAAAGAGGUAAUGAAGAAAUUUUAGGAUUGUAGAAAAGAGAGGGGGUACAGUAGCUGAGUUUGCGAAGCACUAACUGCUUAUUUAGUAAGUAAAGUACAGCAUCUCAUUACAAGCUUUGCUCUAAAAAAAGUGGAUCUAAAAAAAUAAUCAAAAGCUCCCUGAAAAGAAGAGGAAACACUAAAAGAAAAAAUCAUUUGUCCAGUGUAGGUAUAGUCUUAGAUAUAAAAUCUUUCCCUAUUAUGAAGUAAUGGUCUUUUUUUUGGAGGUCAAGACAGCCUUUUAAAUAGUCUUUAAUGCCGCCUGGACAUUGGCAAGUAGUGUUCAUCCAAACCUGCAGAGCCUAGGGCUAGAUGACCUGUACUCAUUGGUUUCCUCAUCUAAAGGACUGUCUUCCAGCAAAAUGAAAGAGUGGAGUCGAGAGUGAUAAUUGGACUUGGCUUUAAGAUUUAUUACCUCAACAUUGGGUUAGGGUAGUUCACUCUGGCCUGACUGUGUUUAGGAAUAGUUUUUUCAGAGCUCAAUAAUAUCCCCUGAAAUCCUUCUCACACAUUUUUACAGGUAUGAGAGGCUAUGAUUUAUUAUUGAAACCUUAAGCUGACACAUUUCAACCCAGUUUUUUCUUGUGACUUAUAUUGUUGGGUUGAGGUUUCAUGUAUAGGUGCCUUUACUGAUGUGAAUAUCAGACUUUAGUUCAGGGUCAGAAAACCUGCAAGGUCGUCAGAGCACUCCGUUCACACACUACAAAACAACUGUUUUUAUGAUCUAAAUUUGUCAGAAAAUGUAUGUUAUAAACAUGACCAGUUGAGUGAAAAUGGAUGAUUGGCCCCAUGUUCCUCCAGCUACAGAGGAAGUGGCUUGACCUGAAAUAAAUGCUGCUUCCUCAGUAAGGGUGCCUUGAAUUAGAUAUUUGGACAUAUAAAGCUGUUGUUUCUGUUGUUUAUCUGCACAUAUGUUUAAAAAAAAGGCUUUUACCGUUUAAUAUUAAAGGGAGUAUCUUUUGCAGCAUUAUUACAUAAACAAGCAUCACACUAAUGUAUUCUUACUUAUAUUACUCAAAUACACCAAAAUACACGUGAAUCAAGUCAUCUGUUUGGUCUUGCAGCAUGUUUUUACUCUCAGCACUUCUUUUACCUUAAAUAUCUGGACAUAAUAUUUUGAACUGUAUUAAAGCCUAAAAAACAUGGUAGCCUGUAUAGUGAAAUUAUUUAAAAUGUCACUGAUUUAGGGCACAUAAUGUACAAUAAAGUUGGUAGGAAACACUA